AUUGAACGCUGGCGGAAUGCUUUACACAUGCAAGUCGAACGGCAGCACGGACUUCGGUCUGGUGGCGAGUGGCGAACGGGUGAGUAAUGUAUCGGAACGUGCCCAGUCGUGGGGGAUAACGUAGUGAAAAUUACGCUAAUACCGCAUACGAUCUAUGGAUGAAAGCGGGGGAUCGCAAGACCUCGCGCGAUUGGAGCGGCCGAUAUCAGAUUAGGUAGUUGGUGGGGUAAAGGCCCACCAAGCCAAUGAUCUGUAGCUGGUCUGAGAGGACGACCAGCCACACUGGAACUGAGACACGGUCCAGACUCCUACGGGAGGCAGCAGUGGGGAAUUUUGGACAAUGGGCGAAAGCCUGAUCCAGCCAUUCCGCGUGCAGGAUGAAGGCCCUCGGGUUGUAAACUGCUUUUGUACAGAACGAGAAGGUUUCUACUAAUACUAGGAGCUCAUGACGGUACUGUAAGAAUAAGCACCGGCUAACUACGUGCCAGCCGCCGCGGUAA
This 500-nucleotide ribosomal RNA is filed under the name uncultured bacterium. RNAcentral describes it as "partial 16S ribosomal RNA". It matches the Rfam family "Bacterial small subunit ribosomal RNA", at positions 30 to 523 of the family's 1533-position model. The record is from RNAcentral.